CUUACUAGGCUAAUCCUCCGCCUUGCAGCACCGGCACACCGGGUUCUAGUCCCGGUCGGGGCACUGGAUUCUGUCCCAGUUGCUCCUCUUCCAGUCCAGCUCUCUGCUGUGGCCCAGGAGUGCAGUGGAGGAUGGUCGAAGUGCUUGGGCCCUGCACCCCAUGGGAGACCAGGAGAAGCACCUGGCUCCUGCCAUCGGAUCAGCGUGGUGCGCCUGCCGCAGCACGCUGGCCGCGGUGGCCAUUGGAGGGUGAACCAACGGUAAAAGGAAGAUCUUUCUCUCUCUCUCUCUCUCUCACUGUCCACUCUGCCUGUCAAAAAAUUUUAAAAAAUAAAUAAAUAAAAGAAGAAAAUACAAGUUUGUAACCUUGUGUCCUCUGUGUACCUCACAUUUGCCAUGGUGGAGUUCUUUUUUUCUUUUAAAGAUUUAUUUAUUUGAAAGUCAGAGUUACACAGAGAGAGGAGAGGCAGAGAGAGAGAGAGAGAGGGAGGGAGAGAGAGAGGUUUUCCAUCCAAUGGUUCACUCCCCAGUUGGCUGCAAUGGCUGCAGCUGUGCCGAUCUGAAGCCAGGAGCCAGGAGCCUCCUCCGGGUCUCCCACGUGGGUGCAGGGGCCCAAGGACUUGGGCCAUCUUCUAUUGCUUUCAAGGCGGAGUUCUGUUGGUGUUUUCUUGACUUGGCCUAACUUUGCUUUCUGAAACUUUAUUGCCUUUAAGCAGUGAAGUGAAAAUAAUUGGUCAAUUUCUGUGCAGGACUGUCACCCCUGAUUCCCCACCCCAUCCCCAUUUCCUUGUGUGGUGCUGAACUGAAGUCGCCCCCUGUGAGUUCAGCAGUAUCUCCUGAGUCAGGACAUCUCGAGGUCUGGGACAGUGCUGGACACUGGGAAGCACUGCCCAUGUCCCAGUGCACUGAGCUGCUGCAGCCACAGACCCAGCGGUUUCUGAUCAGAAACUCCUCAGGGUUCUAGGACCCUGGACUGUGAUUUCAGAAGGCCGGUGUGGUCUGCUUCCGGUGAGGGCCCUCUGCUGCGCCCCAGACUUCUGCUGUCUCCUGGGUCCUCACGUGGUGGGAGAGGGUUAGGGAGCCUCUUGUGUUCUUUUGUAAAGGCCUGAACUCCUUUGUUUAAGGGGUCAGAAUCAUGGACUUCUUUUUCUCCUUUUCUUUUUUUUUUUUUUUUUUUUUUGGCAGGCAGAGUGGACAGUGAGAGAGAGAGACAGAGAGAAAGGUCUUCCUUUGCAGUUGGUUCACCCUCCAAUGGCCGCUGCAGCCGGCGCACCGCACUGAUCCGAUGGCAGGAGCCAGGUGCUUCUCCUGGUCUCUCAUGGGGUGCAGGGCCCAAGCACUUGGGCCAUCCUCCACUGCCCUCCCUGGCCACAGCAGAGAGCUGGCCUGGAAGAGGGGCAACCAGGACAGAAUCCAGAGCCCCGACCGGGACUAGAACCCGGUGUGCCGGCGCCGCAGGCGGAGGAUUAGCCUAGUGAGCUGCGGUGCAGGCUUUCUCCUUUUUCAAACUCUUUCUUAACUCCCCGGUGCCCAGUCUCACUUCUCAGGCGCCUGUCGUCUUUGUCACUGGCUCUGUUUCUGGCGCAUACACUCCUGAUAGGGACACAGCUGAAGCCUUAGAUUUCACUCCUCUGCUCUUCCAUGAAUCCCCGUUUCUCCCGUUUCAGCUGUAGUCUCCAUGAAAGUCGUCGUAACAGCUUUGUGUCUGUCGCUUCCCCUUGGUGAGCUGUGGUCUCUGUCUCAUGACCAUUCUCACAUUUUGCUUGUUUGUUUUCAGCUGAAAACCAAGCUCAUUGUCAUUAUUUCUACCAGUGCCUUCCCAGUGCUAAGGUCAUCAUCAUUGUACCAUUUGUGUCUGCUUCCUCUGUUUAGGAAAAGCAAAAGGGAGGGAGGGAGAUACUUUGAUCUGCUGGUUCCCUCCCUAAAUGCCUACAACAAGCAGGGCUAGGCCAGGCUGAAGCCGGGAGCCAGGAGCUCCAUUUGUGUUUCUCACAUGGAUGGCAGGGGCCCAAGCACUUGAGCUGUCUUUGGCUGCCUUUCAAGACACAUCAGCAGGGAGCUGGAUUGGAAGCAGAGCAUUCAGGACUCAGAACAGAACUCCAAUGUGCGGCUUAACCCACUGUGCCAUCGUGCUGGCCCUUUGUCUUCCUUGUCUUGAACUUGGUCAGAUAAUUCACUGGGUACCGAGGCGCUUUCUGUCAGUUGUCUGUUUUAUCUGGGUCUCGUUUCCCAUUCUGGCUGGUGUCCUCUGACCCAGAUGCGUGCCUCUGAGCAGCCAGUCCCCGCGAGGAACCAGAGCUGUGGAGAUCCUCAGGUCUUGACUUUCACAGAGCAGCCCAUGUGUUCCUGGAGGCGAGAGCUGCCUCUUUGCUUCGUGGCAAUUGGUAUUGGUCUGCAAUGAUCAGAAUGUGGCGUGGUAACCCGGCGAACAGUGAGUCUACCUGGGAGACAGAGAGACUCUGGAUGGUGCCCUUGUCAGACACCGAGCAUCCUGUGUGUCUCGUCACCUGAGCUGGUGGGAAAGAACUGAGGUGGCCUUGGUUUGGAUGGAGUUGCAGGUGGCACACAGCUGGAUGAUCCUCAGACGUCACAACGCGGUCCUGACUCCAGGCUGGACCGUGCACUCUCAGAAUUUCACCCCCUUCUGCUCAUCAGCUCUGCCGUGUGAGAUCAUUGCUUCCAUUUCAAGUCUUUGCAGGUCAUCAGAGACUCCAAACAAGCUUUGAGACGAAGGUAAGAAGGGCUCCACUCUGGCCCCUGGCUAGGUUGCUGAUAGGUUAUUCCAGAUUCACUGGGUCUGCUUUCGCACUGGGGAGGUGAAACCUGCCAAACCUCCUUGAUAACCUGCUGUUGCUGUUUGCCAGUGAACACGUGUACAGACACUGAUGUGAGUUCUCUCUUCAGUGUUGCUGUGCUUCUGGUGCACAGUCCUAGGCACAGAACAUGCAAGGCUCAUGCUUGCACCUGCUCUGGGACUCACACAGAAAGGCACGGAGUGCACAGUUGACCUGGGUCACCACCCCUCCCUCUGGCUGCAACCCUCUCCUCCAACAGCUGCCAAAAGCUUUGCGAGUCUUCCUCGCCCUUGGCCUUGAACGAUCCCAGUUACUUUGCCAGUGACCUCUUAUUGAGGGGCUUCCUGGUUGUGGCCAUCUGGGGAGUUCCCCAGUAGAUGAAAGAUAUCUUUUCUCUCUGCCUCUCCAUUUCUGUGACUCUUA
Oryctolagus cuniculus (rabbit) is the source of this 3218-nucleotide non-coding RNA. Lineage: Eukaryota; Metazoa; Chordata; Mammalia; Lagomorpha; Leporidae. The record is from RefSeq and is a predicted model, not a curated record.